CUUGGCAGCUCUAGAGAGUGGGGUACACCUGUUCCCAUUCCGAACACAGAAGUUAAGCCACUCUUCGCCGAUGGUACUGCUACUUGAGUAGUGGGAGAGUAGGGCGCUGUCAAGA
This 115-nucleotide ribosomal RNA is filed under the name bacterium. The record is from RNAcentral.